GAUUUCCAAUUUAAAUUAAAAGACGACCUUGUGCUCGGGAAUUCAUGGUAUUGUGUCCUAACUUACGGGAUGUGAUACUCCGAUAUCUCGAGAUAAGGAAAUCUUUAAACAAAUCGAUUUAAGCUAAUUCAAGAAUUUUAAAAUCAGUAUUAAUAGAAAAGAUCGUAUUUCAAGUCCCUUCUCGAUUUUUAAUUUUCGACAUUAAGACACU
This 211-nucleotide long non-coding RNA is filed under the name Gossypium barbadense (sea-island cotton). RNAcentral's name for it is "long non-coding RNA (GBAR_LNC004968)". The record is from RNAcentral. Lineage: Eukaryota; Viridiplantae; Streptophyta; Magnoliopsida; Malvales; Malvaceae.